GAGCCAUAGCUCAACAGCAGAGCAUCUGCUUUGCAUGCAGAAGGUCCUAGGUUCAAUCUCCAAUGGCAUCU
Molecule: transfer RNA, 71 nt
Filed under: Podarcis lilfordi (Lilford's wall lizard)
Lineage: Eukaryota; Metazoa; Chordata; Lepidosauria; Squamata; Lacertidae
Description: tRNA.Ala
Rfam family: tRNA
About the family: Transfer RNA (tRNA) molecules are approximately 80 nucleotides in length. Their secondary structure includes four short double-helical elements and three loops (D, anti-codon, and T loops). Further hydrogen bonds mediate the characteristic L-shaped molecular structure. tRNAs have two regions of fundamental functional importance: the anti-codon, which is responsible for specific mRNA codon recognition, and the 3' end, to which the tRNAs corresponding amino acid is attached (by aminoacyl-tRNA synthetases). tRNAs cope with the degeneracy of the genetic code in two manners: having more than one tRNA (with a specific anti-codon) for a particular amino acid; and 'wobble' base-pairing, i.e. permitting non-standard base-pairing at the 3rd anti-codon position.
Source: RNAcentral